Molecule: ribosomal RNA, 253 nt
Filed under: uncultured bacterium
Lineage: Bacteria
Description: partial 16S ribosomal RNA
Rfam family: Bacterial small subunit ribosomal RNA
Source: RNAcentral
UACGUAGGUGGCAAGCGUUGUCCGGAAUCACUGGGCGUAAAGCGCACGUAGGCGGAUCUUUAAGUCAGGGGUGAAAUCCUGGAGCUCAACUCCAGAACUGCCUUUGAUACUGGGGAUCUCGAGUCCGGAAGAGGUGAGUGGAACUCCGAGUGUAGAGGUGAAAUUCGUAGAUAUUCGGAAGAACACCAGUGGCGAAGGCGGCUCACUGGUCCGGUACUGACGCUGAGGUGCGAAAGCGUGGGGAGCAAACAGG